GGAUGUCAGGGCGAUCUGGCUGCGACAUGUGUCACCCCAUUGACCGUCAAGGUUGAUUCGGCUGAUCUGGCUGGCUAGGCAGGUGUCCCUUUCUUCCCUCACUGCUCCAUGUGCGUCCCUCCCAAAGCUGUGCGCUGGGUCGUGGAAGACAACCAUCCCCAUAGAGGAGGACCGAAGAACCGUCGAGGGUAUAUGAGUAGCUGUGCCUCCCCUGCUAGGACCUCCAAACAAACUCUCUCAAUUCCCAGAAGUAAAAUCCGUUUUUGUCAAAGAUACGUAAAACUUAAUUCUGACAGUCUCUUAGAGCAGAUAUUA
RNAcentral lists this small nuclear RNA (315 nucleotides) under Tupaia belangeri chinensis (Chinese tree shrew). RNAcentral's name for it is "Tupaia chinensis (Chinese tree shrew) 7SK RNA". It matches the Rfam family "7SK RNA". Rfam says of the family: 7SK was discovered as an abundant small nuclear RNA in the mid-70s but a possible function has only recently been suggested. Two independent studies have found that 7SK RNA binds the CDK9/cyclin T complex (known as elongation factor P-TEFb). The record is from Rfam by way of RNAcentral. Lineage: Eukaryota; Metazoa; Chordata; Mammalia; Scandentia; Tupaiidae.